AGAGUUUGAUCCUGGCUCAGAUUGAACGCUGGCGGCAGGCCUAACACAUGCAAGUCGAACGGUAACAGGAAACAGCUUGCUGUUUCGCUGACGAGUGGCGGACGGGUGAGUAAUGUCUGGGAAACUGCUGAUGGAGGGGGAUAACUACUGGAAACGGUAGCUAAUACCGCAUAACGUCGCAAGACCAAAGAGGGGGACCCUCGGGCCUCUUGCCAUCGGAUGUGCCCAGAUGGGAUUAGCUAGUAGGUGGGGUAACGGCUCACCUAGGCGACGAUCCCUAGCUGGUCUGAGAGGAUGACCAGCCACACUGGAACUGAGACACGGUCCAGACUCCUACGGGAGGCAGCAGUGGGGAAUAUUGCACAAUGGGCGCAAGCCUGAUGCAGCCAUGCCGCGUGUAUGAAGAAGGCCUUCGGGUUGUAAAGUACUUUCAGCGGGGAGGAAGGGAGUAAAGUUAAUACCUUUGCUCAUUGACGUUACCCGCAGAAGAAGCACCGGCUAACUCCGUGCCAGCAGCCGCGGUAAUACGGAGGGUGCGAGCGUUAAUCGGAAUUACUGGGCGUAAAGCGCACGCAGGCGGUUUGUUAAGUCACAUGUGAAAUCCCCGGGCUCAACCUGGGAACUGCAUCUGAUACUGGCAAGCUUGAGUCUCGUAGAGGGGGGUAGAAUUCCAGGUGUAGCGGCGAAAUGCGUAGAGAUC
Molecule: ribosomal RNA, 700 nt
Filed under: uncultured bacterium
Lineage: Bacteria
Description: bacterial SSU rRNA
Rfam family: Bacterial small subunit ribosomal RNA
Source: RNAcentral